UCAAAAACAUGUCCUUUUGAUUUUAUUUAAGGUCGGGCCUGCUCAAUGAUUAUUUAAAUAGCCGCAGUAAAUUAACUGUGCUAAGGUAGCAUAAUAAUUAGUCUUUUAAUUGAGGUCUGGAAUGAAUGGUUUGACGAAAAAAAUUCUUUAUUAAUUAGAUUUUUUUGAAUUUAUAUUUUUAGUUAAAAUUCUAAAAUGUUAAAGAGGGACGAUAAGACCCUAUAGAUCUUUAUAAUUUUAUUUAUAUUAAUUUUUUAGUUGUUUAUUUUUAUAUAAUUAAUUUUAUUUUGUUGGGGUGACAACUAAAAUUUUAAACUUUAGUUUAUUUUUACAUUUUUUUAUGUUUUUUUUGAUCCAUAAAUUUUGAUUAUAAGAAUAAGAUACCUUAGGGAUAACAGCGUUAUUCAUUUGGAGAGUUCUAAUCGAUAAAUGAGUUUGCGACCUCGAUGUUGGAUUAAAAUAUAUUCAUGGGGUAGGUUUUAUGAAAUUAGGUCUGUUCGACCUUUAAAAUU
RNAcentral lists this ribosomal RNA (512 nucleotides) under Anatolodus musivus. Its description in RNAcentral is "partial large subunit ribosomal RNA". It matches the Rfam family "Bacterial large subunit ribosomal RNA", at positions 1807 to 2595 of the family's 2925-position model. Lineage: Eukaryota; Metazoa; Arthropoda; Insecta; Hemiptera; Issidae. The record is from RNAcentral.